RNAcentral lists this ribosomal RNA (253 nucleotides) under uncultured bacterium. RNAcentral's name for it is "partial 16S ribosomal RNA". It matches the Rfam family "Bacterial small subunit ribosomal RNA", at positions 524 to 776 of the family's 1533-position model. The record is from RNAcentral.
UACGGGGGGGGCAAGCGUUGUUCGGAAUUACUGGGCGUAAAGCGUGCGCAGGCGGUUCUCCAAGUCCGUUGUGAAAGCCCCGGGCUCAACCUGGGAAUGGCAGUGGAAACUAGGGGACUUGAAUCUGGCAGAGGGGGGUGGAAUUCCACGUGUAGCAGUGAAAUGCGUAGAGAUGUGGAGGAACACCGAUGGCGAAGGCAGCCCCCUGGGCUGAGAUUGACGCUCAGGCACGAAAGCGUGGGGAGCAAACAGG